This is a long non-coding RNA of Symphalangus syndactylus (siamang), 498 nucleotides long. RefSeq lists it as uncharacterized. The record is from RefSeq and is a predicted model, not a curated record. Lineage: Eukaryota; Metazoa; Chordata; Mammalia; Primates; Hylobatidae.
ACAACCUAGCCAUUCGGGCCUGCUGCCAGAGUGAACACCACAGGGAUGUGUCAGGAAUUGGUGGGUUCUUGGUCUCACUGACUUCAAGAAUGAAGCCGCGGACCCUCGCGCCCAACUUCUUUCCAGAUGAUUCCGAAAAUCGCAUUUCUUGCUUCAGCCUCUCUCCUAAGAACCACAGGUCAUUCCCACUGCCUUUGCUGGAUGUGUGUCCCUGGAAGAAGGUGGCCUGCUUCUCAAACCUGGCUUGACCCACACGAAACUCAACCUCACAUCACUCCAGGUUUCCCCCAGACAAUCGCACAGUACCCCUAACUCCACUUAAUUAGCUCCUCACGCUCUGAAUCACAGAAAGGCAAACUUGCUAACAAAGAGGCGGCCCGCCCGCGUGCGGGCUUCCUGGGCGCGUCCCGCUGGCCAGGUGAGUAGAUCAGGCACCGCAGCGGGGCGCGGGGCGGGCUGGAGGCGCGCGGACACUCCCCCGGCCGGCAAGGAAGGGGC